CUCGUAGGUGUACUCGCCAUCGGACCUGCGACUCUCUGUCGGGUGCCGAAGGGGAACCCGUGAAACCUGCCACCUGGGAAGUACGGCCGCAAGGCUGAAACUUAAAGGAAUUGGGCGGGGGAGCACCACAACGGGUGGAGCUUGCGGUUUAAUUGGAUUCAACGCCGGAAAUCUCACCGGAUACCGACAGCUAAAUGAAAGCCAGGUUGAAGACUUUGCUUGAUUAGCUGAGAGGAGGUG
Molecule: ribosomal RNA, 240 nt
Filed under: uncultured archaeon
Lineage: Archaea
Description: partial 16S ribosomal RNA
Rfam family: Archaeal small subunit ribosomal RNA
Source: RNAcentral